Molecule: ribosomal RNA, 292 nt
Filed under: uncultured Bacteroidota bacterium
Lineage: Bacteria; Pseudomonadati; Bacteroidota
Description: uncultured Bacteroidetes bacterium partial 16S ribosomal RNA
Source: RNAcentral
GGACUACACGGGUAUCUAAUCCUGUUUGAUCCCCACGCUUUCGUGCCUCAGCGUCAAUCACACUUUAGUAAGCUGCCUUCGCAAUUGGUGUUCUGUGACAUAUCUAUGCAUUUCACCGCUACUUGUCACAUUCCGCCUACCUCAAGUGUAUUCAAGCUCAUCAGUAUCAAGGGCACUGCGAUAGUUAAGCUACCGUCUUUCACCCCUGACUUAAUAAGCCGCCUACGCACCCUUUAAACCCAAUAAAUCCGGAUAACGCUUGGAUCCUCCGUAUUACCGCGGCUGCUGGCAC